Non-coding RNA from Podarcis lilfordi (Lilford's wall lizard), 3024 nucleotides. The record is from the annotation of a GenBank genome assembly. NCBI's taxonomy places the organism in Eukaryota, Metazoa, Chordata, Lepidosauria, Squamata, Lacertidae.
UUUCCACAAAUAUGACUGUUUUAAAGACCAAAGGAAGCAAUUGCCUCCAUAGCAUCACUGCCACACCCAGGGACAGCCCAAUACAUUUUGGCACCUGAGGCAAACCACCAAAUGGCUCUCCCAUCCCCACCAGGAAAGAAGGGGUGAGUGAAGAUCCAUUAUCAAGAACAAAGCAGGGAAUAAAGAUUUACAUGGGGAUCUGCUGCCCCUGUGGAUCUGCCGCCUGAGGCAGUUGUCUCACUUUACCUCACCACACCAGCACAAAAUAACAUUUCAAAAUGAAAGUGUUUAAAAUACUCCAAAACAUCAGAGCCUAAGGGUUUCUUAAAGAGGUGCUUAUGACAAUCACACGGCUACGUUACACACAACCACUAAAUAGCAAUGGUGGGCCUAAUGGCGGAGAGAAUAGAUUUUAACAGCAGUCUCCAAAUACAGGGUGUUUGUGUGUUGAGUUCUCUGCAAUGGUAUCAACAAUACUAGCACUAAAAGGUGUCAACAAUACUAGCCCUACUCACUAUGGCUAAAGUGCAGCAAGAAUGCCAUCUUCUAUCAAAGAAUAAAAUGGCAGUAUAACACUUAAUUCUGAACCUUUACUUAGCGGCACAUGUCAAGUGCAAGCAUUUCAUAUCUAUCCAUCACAGAGUGUGCUGUUUUAAUCACUCCUGAGGUUAAGGACAUUUGAAAGUUUGCUCAAGGUCACCUUACACAUUAUAGGGGUGCAACAACUGAUUUGAAUCUGAAAACUUAAUUGUGUGUUGCUGAUUUGUAAGGCCUUUUUUAUCUGAAGAUCUAGUAAAGUGGUGAAGAUGUAGCAGGGUGACUCCACUAGCACUGUGAAUUGGCAGAUACUCAUCAAAAGUGAACAGCUAUACCAACUAAAUACUAGGGUUGGAGACUAGUUAAUUGGCCACUCAAAGAAUGCCCGUUGCCUGCUGAUUAUUUGACCAGUCAGAUAUUGUCAAAUAGUCAGGGGAGCCAAGAAUAUCCUUAGGCAGGUAGUGGCUCUGUGCCAAAGUUUUAACUGUCGUUUUCGUGAAGGUUUUCAGAACAAAGCCAAAUAGUUACCCUCAUCUUCAUAUAGUCAUAGAAUUGGUGAUGCAAAGCUGAGGCCAGGAAAAUAAAGGUGAGAAGAAAAGAAUAUUGAUGAAGUGUAAUUGCAGAGACCUUUUAAGGGGCCAAGCAUCACACAGAAAAGGCAGGCAUACUUCCAGGUGCACGGACUCCUUCCUUUUUAAAAGUUGCAAGGAUCCUCAACUGUAACUGCUUCUUGGGGAGCAUGAAUCCUGCCAAAUUUCAGGUGGAUAACUGCAGUAAGCUCCCACAAGUGUAGCUGAUACAGUGGGCACUUUAAAAAAAGGAAACAAUCACUUAAUUUUCUCUUUGGAGGGGCAAUUGGUCUGUAAAAUGCAAUACGUGAGAGAUACCCUUGGGUAAGAAACCUGCCAAAUAGCAGACAAGAGUGCCCAGGAGCUUUUGUACUAUGUAUCUUUAAAGCUCUUUCAUUACUCCUAAAUUCAUCAUAUUGGUAAAUGGUCACAGGUCUGGAUAUUUCUGUUUUUCAAAUGGAACUAGACAAGGCUGUCCCCACAAGCUGGAAACGUUUAAUUAACUUUUAAUGAUGUAAGGGGCCACUGCUUGAUGAGACUUGCUUCUAGAGGAAACAGUAGAGAAGAAUCUUGGUCGCAGGGAAGGGCAUCACUGAAUAGGAUACCUGAAGGAGCAUCUCCACCCUCAUCGUUCAGCCUGGACGCUGAGGUCCAGCUCAGAGGGCCUUCUGGCAGUUCCCUCCCUGCGAGAAGCCAAGUUACAGGGAACCAGGCAGAGGGCCUUCUCGGUGGUGGCACCCGCCCUGUGGAACGCCCUCCCACCAGAUGUCAAAGAAACAAACAACUAUCUGAUGUUUAGAAGACAUCUGAAGGCAGCCCUGUUUAGGGAAGUUUUUAAUGACUGAUGUUUUAAUGUAUUUUUAAUCUUUUGUUGGAAGCUGCCCAGAGUGGCUGGGGAAACCAGAUGGGUGAGGUAUAAAUAAUAAAUUGUUGUUGUUGUAUGGUGUUCUAUCAAGUGUUGUGCGGAAUCUCCUUUUUAAUACCACUUCUAGCUAAUAAAGAAAACCCAAAUCCCAGCAGUGCUAAAGCCUGCUCUGGUGUAGAAGGUGAAGGCGAUGAGCUAAUGGGCAACGAGAAUGCCUUGGGUCCAGGGGCAGCACAUCCUGUUUGGCUGCUUGAGGCAAAACAAGAAGCGCUCCCCUGCCCUGACCCCUCACCAGCGCCACCAGACCUGUCGUCUGCACCAAUCGCCCUGCCACAUCCACUGCUGGAAGAGAAGCAGCUCCAGCAUCAAAACUGGUGAGGUCUUGCCCAGAACUGGUGGCGAUGCCAGCCCCGCUUCUCGGCCACUGGUGGAGAAGCAAACAGGGUGCCUGCGGGGGCACUGCUAUGGGGGGCUUCCACUGCCUGGUGGCUGGGCUGGCCCUGCUUUGCUCUGAGAAAGUAUUGAGGCACCUGAAAAAGAUGUAUGUGAAUUCCUUUAAACUAAUCAUAUUGAAAUGGCACAGGGCCGAAUACUAUACAAACAUAUAAUAUAAAUUGCCACAUAAAUUACAGCAACAAGGAUAUUCAAAAUAUUAAAUAUUUUCUAUUUUAUCCUUUGGGGCAGUAGAAUGUAAAUUAACAAGUGAAUAAGUGAAUAAAUAAAGAAAUAAAAUCUCUGCAGUUCUCAGUAAUGUUAGAUAUCUGAAUUGAAAACCAACAGCUUCACAUUGAAGUUCUUCACUUUGUUUUGUCAGUUACUUCUGAAAUGACUUCCAUUGCCAGCUUGUACUGACACAGGACUUUAGGUUUAUUCCAGAAAACAAAACCUAGAACCUAGUUCAGGCAUGGGUAUCGACCCAGCAUGUUCACCAGCAAUUUCCAUCUUUUCCUUCAACAUUUUCUUCUUCUUUACAGGUGUCAUCUAAUGGGCUGUACCUGCCUUCCAGCUUUUCAUGCACAUUCUGUAUUAGAUUUUAUCAGUGCUUUUUUCUAG